UACGUAGGAAGCGAGCGUUGUCCGGAUUUACUGGGCGUAAAGGGCGUGUAGGCGGCUUGUUAAGUCUUGUGUGAAAUCUCCCGGCUCAACUGGGAGGGGCCACGGGAAACUGGCAGGCUUGAGGGCGGUAGAGGAAAGUGGAAUUCCCGGAGUAGUGGUGAAAUGCGUAGAUACCGGGAGGAACACCAGUGGCGAAGGCGGCUUUCUGGGCCGUUCCUGACGCUGAUGCGCGAAAGCUUGGGGAGCGAACCGG
This 253-nucleotide unclassified non-coding RNA is filed under the name uncultured Dehalococcoidia bacterium. RNAcentral's name for it is "contains 16S-23S intergenic spacer region". It matches the Rfam family "Bacterial small subunit ribosomal RNA", at positions 524 to 776 of the family's 1533-position model. The record is from RNAcentral. Lineage: Bacteria; Bacillati; Chloroflexota; Dehalococcoidia.